This 254-nucleotide ribosomal RNA is filed under the name uncultured bacterium. Its description in RNAcentral is "partial 16S ribosomal RNA". It matches the Rfam family "Bacterial small subunit ribosomal RNA", at positions 524 to 776 of the family's 1533-position model. The record is from RNAcentral.
UACGGGGGGAGCAAGCGUUGUUCGGAUUUACUGGGCGUAAAGGGCGCGUAGGCGGCCUCUGCAAGUCGACUGUGAAAUCUCCGGGCUUAACCCGGAAAGGUCAGCCGAUACUGCUGAGCUAGAGUACAGAAGGGGCAACCGGAAUUCCCAGUGUAGCGGUGAAAUGCGUAGAUAUUGGGAAGAACACCUGAGGCGAAGGCGGGUUGCUGGGCUGAUACUGACGCUGAGGCGCGAAAGCCAGGGGAGCAAACGGG